Molecule: long non-coding RNA, 1380 nt
Organism: Cheilinus undulatus (humphead wrasse)
Lineage: Eukaryota; Metazoa; Chordata; Actinopteri; Labriformes; Labridae
Exons: 4
Source: RefSeq, a predicted model, not a curated record
CUUCACAGGAGUGUACCGUACAGUCGGAACUCCAGCGGAGACCAUCACUGCGCUGGACCACCAGGAGGAAGCAGCCUCUUUUACCUCUGAUUGGAAACAAUCACCCUGAUCGAUCAGCUGGAUUUACUGAAGCACCCAUCGAUUAAUUCCUGGGACGCGUAAAAGAGGAUUAAAUGUUACAGCAAUGUCACACAUGGAGGAGCUCUAUUUCUUGUUAUUUUUCUAAGUCUAACUGGAUGAUGGCAGCGUAUGAAGGAUUUAGCACUCCUGUUUGGAGUCGUCCUGUUGGAUUUAAGGAAAUAAUGCUGUCUCUGACGCGGGAUGAGUGGUGUCCAUUACUCAGCUGCUGGACAAGCUGUUUGGCGGACAGGGGAGUCCCAUGGGAUACUUUACGCGUGUACAAGUGUAGCCAGUGUCACACACCGCCAGGUUUUGGGGGAUUAAUAUUUGUGCCUGUUAAUUUCAAAACAAGGAAAGGAAUAUCCUGGGAUGUAUGUUUGGAGCGAUGCUCUGAAGAAGUUUUGCAAUUUGGAUAAUGUCAUCUCAUCCAGAAGUGAGUGAUUCCAAAUUCUGGGAUUGAGAUGUCAACUGUAUAUAACUUCCCAGGUCUCUUUCGAUGAUCUCAGGUGUGCGUUGAGAAGAGGCUGACUAAUGGAAACAUGAUCUCAAAGGAUUCAGCAGGAUCCAACUAAAUCCUGGAUUGGACUUUGGACCAGCAUCCCCGGCAGCAGAUGUUCGCUCCUGGCAUGACUGCAAACAGCAUGAGCUCCAUCCCACUGACAAUCUCACUGUCAGGAUCCAGCACAGGCAGUUUGGACUUGGAGGAGCUGUGACAUAAAAUCAGCAGGACAUUGGAGUUGGUUCUGCCUUUGAGACUUCAUGGAACAGAUCAGUCAAGUCUUUCUGGAAAGGUGCUUGAUGAGGAACUCAGCUCCGUGGAUGCACAUUUAACACAAUGGAUCUACAAGUUAUUUGAUUUUCUUUUAACUGACCUUGGAUUACCUGUGUUUACAUCUGCCCUGGAUGAAGAAUCAACAAGUGCUGGAACUGCAAAUUAAAAGUAAUCAGGUGUUGUUUUAAAUUUCAGUUGUGUUUUGUUAGUGUAAAUUAAUUCAUGCAAAUGUGAUCUAGAUCCCUCAGAGGGAUUAGUCAAUCAUUUGAAGUGGACUUCUCCUUGACAUCUUGUAAUUGAGAUCACAAAGGAGCCAUUGUAAUCAAGGCGCAAACCAAAACCUGUCCUAUUGACACUUCAUAUCAUUAUGACACAUUGGCAGCCUGUGUUAAUAUUGGUUAAUAACCCUGUCAAACUUCUACUGGCAUGAUUAAUUGCCCCAUAACUUUUGUUGUGUCUGUAAAAGCCUGUUAUCAAUAUUAAAUAAA